GGCCAGGGAGUAGGUGCUGCCCAGACCCGAGCCUACCCUCCCUUCUCCUCCCCAGUGCGUAUCACGGCCACCUGAGCUCCCUGAUUGACAUCAGUCCCUACAAGUUCCGCAACCUGGAUGGCCAGAAGGAGUGGGUCCACGUGGUAUGCACUGCCCAACUCAACAACAGGUCGGUGCCUGUCCCCAAGCCCGGAUAACAUGGCGCUGUCACUCCCCACAGGCACCUCUCCCAGACACCUACCGGGGCCCCUACCGGGAGGACCACCCCAACCCAGCUAUGGCCUAUGCCAACGAGGUGAAACGUGUGGUCAGCAGUGCACAGGAGAAGGGCAGGAAGAUUGCGGCCUUCUUCGCUGAGUCUCUGCCCAGUGUGGGAGGGCAGAUCAUUCCCCCUGCUGGCUACUUCUCCCAAGUGGCAGAAUGAGAUCCAGGUUGGCUUUGGCCGGGUAGGCAAGCACUUCUGGGCCUUCCAGCUCCAGGGAAAAGACUUCGUCCCUGACAUCGUCACCAUGGGCAAGUCCAUUGGCAAUGGCCACCCUGUUGCCUGCGUGGCCGCAACCCAGCCUGUGGCGAGGGCAUUUGAAGCCACCGGCGUUGAGUACUUCAACACGGUGAGUGAUGGCUCUAAGUCAAGGGAGCAACAUGGGUUCUGAUAGGCCCCCGGUGAUCAGCCUGUCCUUAGUCAGCAAAGGGUACAGGGCUAACACUGUGCCCAGCACACGCUUCCAAGACGCUGUCCUUAAGGAGAUUAUAGCCAGGUCAGGUAAGAAAACAUAAAACAUCUUUUAAAAUUAGUGUCAAUCCAAAAGCUGUCACAAGGGACCAUGUCUUAUAAAAUAUAUACAAAAAUACGAGUCCCUGUCUUCCUUUCAGCAGAUGCCACCCAUUCUGUGCCAGGCCCUGUGUCAGGUGCUGGAACUUGAGCUGGUUAAGAGUUGUGAGGAGUGUGGUGUGCUUGGGUAACACAUGAUCUCGGAGCAGAGUUCGCA
Molecule: long non-coding RNA, 989 nt
Filed under: Pan troglodytes (chimpanzee)
Lineage: Eukaryota; Metazoa; Chordata; Mammalia; Primates; Hominidae
Description: long non-coding RNA NONPTRT014382
Source: RNAcentral